UGAUUAUUGGAGGUAGAGCACUGUUUGGACGAGGGGCCCCUCUCGGGUUACCGAAUUCAGACAAACUCCGAAUGCCAAUUAAUUUAACUUGGGAGUCAGAACAUGGGUGAUAAGGUCCGUGUUCGAAAGGGAAACAGCCCAGACCACCAGCUAAGGUCCCAAAAUAUAUGUUAAGUGGAAAAGGAUGUGGCGUUGCCCAGACAACUAGGAUGUUGGCUUAGAAGCAGCCAUCAUUUAAAGAGUGCGUAAUAGCUCACUAGUCGAGUGACACUGCGCCGAAAAUGUACCGGGGCUAAACAUAUUACCGAAGCUGUGGAUUGUCCUUUGGACAAUGGUAGGAGAGCGUUCUAAGGGCGUUGAAGCAUGAUCGUAAGGACAUGUGGAGCGCUUAGAAGUGAGAAUGCCGGUGUGAGUAGCGAAAGACGGGUGAGAAUCCCGUCCACCGAUUGACUAAGGUUUCCAGAGGAAGGCUCGUCCGCUCUGGGUUAGUCGGGUCCUAAGCUGA
Molecule: ribosomal RNA, 505 nt
Filed under: Staphylococcus aureus
Lineage: Bacteria; Bacillati; Bacillota; Bacilli; Caryophanales; Staphylococcaceae
Description: partial 23S ribosomal RNA
Rfam family: Bacterial large subunit ribosomal RNA
Source: RNAcentral